Molecule: long non-coding RNA, 409 nt
Organism: Cyprinus carpio (common carp)
Lineage: Eukaryota; Metazoa; Chordata; Actinopteri; Cypriniformes; Cyprinidae
Exons: 2
Source: RefSeq, a predicted model, not a curated record
AGCAAGCUUUGGAUCUACUGAAUGUGUAUUUUUCAAGCAUUUUAUUGCAGGGUUCACUGUUAUUUUUCUGCAUAGCGAUGACUCGUGAAAAGUGUUUAUUAAUUUACUUCAAUGUAUAGUUAACCAGAAUUCUGUCUUUUACGUUUUACCAAACCUCUUACUUUUGUUUCUCUGCAGAACUCAAAAGAAGAUACUUUGAAGAAUGCUGGUAAUCAAACCCAACAAGUUUGUCAGGUGCAGAAAUAAAAGCUCCCAAACAAAGAUGUCAUCGGAUUAAGAUGUGGAAAGACAUGUUCCACCACAACAACCAUAAAUCCUGAGUAAUUUGAAAAUGGGCAACAACCGAGGAAAAGUACCCAUUGUUUUAGUCAGAAAUGAUUCAUGGUAAUAGUAAUAGUAAAUGAUUAGA